Molecule: non-coding RNA, 29 nt
Filed under: Rattus norvegicus (Norway rat)
Lineage: Eukaryota; Metazoa; Chordata; Mammalia; Rodentia; Muridae
Source: RNAcentral
UGCAGAGUAUUCCAAAGGGUCCCAAGAGA